GGCGAACGCUGGCGGCGUGCUUAACACAUGCAAGUCGAACGGUAAGGCCCUUCGGGGUACACGAGUGGCGAACGGGUGAGUAACACGUGGGUGAUCUGCCCUGCACUUCGGGAUAAGCCUGGGAAACUGGGUCUAAUACCGGAUAGGACCACUGCCUGCAUGGGUGGGGGUGGAAAGCUUUUGUGGUGUGGGAUGGGCCCGCGGCCUAUCAGCUUGUUGGUGGGGUGAUGGCCUACCAAGGCGACGACGGGUAGCCGGCCUGAGAGGGUGACCGGCCACACUGGGACUGAGAUACGGCCCAGACUCCUACGGGAGGCAGCAGUGGGGAAUAUUGCACAAUGGGCGCAAGCCUGAUGCAGCGACGCCGCGUGAGGGAUGACGGCCUUCGGGUUGUAAACCUCUUUCAGCACCGACGAAGCGCAAGUGACGGUAGGUGCAGAAGAAGGACCGGCCAACUACGUGCCAGCAGCCGCCGCGG
RNAcentral lists this ribosomal RNA (478 nucleotides) under uncultured bacterium. RNAcentral's name for it is "partial 16S ribosomal RNA". It matches the Rfam family "Bacterial small subunit ribosomal RNA", at positions 28 to 523 of the family's 1533-position model. The record is from RNAcentral.